Molecule: ribosomal RNA, 378 nt
Filed under: Ancillina sp. MNHN IM 2007-38889
Lineage: Eukaryota; Metazoa; Mollusca; Gastropoda; Neogastropoda; Olividae
Description: partial 12S ribosomal RNA
Source: RNAcentral
UCUUAAAUGUAAAAUAAAAUUAAUGACAUUUUUACCAGAGUACUAUGAAUCAAAUAAAAUUUAAAACUCAAAGGGCUUGGCGGUGUUUUAGACCUUUCAGGGGAACCUGUCUCGUAAUCGACAAUCCACGCUAAACCUAACUUUCUUUUGUAAUUCAGUUUGUAUACCGUCGUCGUCAGGUAACUUUUUAAAAUUUAGAAGUUAGCAUAUAAAUUACUUAAAUUUAAACGUCAGAUCAAGGUGCAGCCUAUAGGGAAGCGAAGAUGGGUUACAAUUAUUUAUUUAUAAUAACGAAUAAUUAAAUGAAAAAUAUUUUUAAGGAGGACUUGAAAGUAAAAUAAACUAGAAAAACAGUUUGAAUAUGGCUCUGAAACGUGC